CCUAUGGGAUGCAGCAGGCGCGAAAACUUUACAAUGCGGGCAACCGUGAUAAGGAAACCCCGAGUGCCACCACAGGGUGGCUGUCCACCAGUGUAAAAAACUGGUGAAGAAAGGGCCGGGCAAGACCGGUGCCAGCCGCCGCGGUAAUACCGGCGGCUCGAGUGGUGGCCGCUUUUACUGGGCUUAAAGGGUCCGUAGCUUGAUUCACAAGUCCCUUGAGAAAUCCAUCGGCUUAACUGAUGGGCGUUCAGGGGAUACUGUGGUUCUAGGGACCGGGAGAGGUGAGAGGUACUGCCGGGGUAGGAGUGAAAUCCUGUAAUCCCGGUGGGACGACCUAUGGCGAAGGCAUCUCACCAGAACGGCUCCGACAGUGAGGGACGAAAGCUGGGGGAGCAAACCGGAUUAGAUACCCGCGUAGUCC
This 421-nucleotide ribosomal RNA is filed under the name uncultured Methanospirillum sp. RNAcentral's name for it is "bacterial SSU rRNA". It matches the Rfam family "Archaeal small subunit ribosomal RNA", at positions 322 to 747 of the family's 1478-position model. The record is from RNAcentral. Lineage: Archaea; Methanobacteriati; Methanobacteriota; Methanomicrobia; Methanomicrobiales; Methanospirillaceae.